Molecule: ribosomal RNA, 343 nt
Filed under: uncultured bacterium
Lineage: Bacteria
Description: bacterial SSU rRNA
Rfam family: Bacterial small subunit ribosomal RNA
Source: RNAcentral
AGGGUUUGAUUCUGGCUCAGGAUGAACGCUGGCGGCGUGCUUAACACAUGCAAGUCGAACGGGAAACCUUUUAUUGAAGCUUCGGCAGAUUUAGAUUGUUUCUAGUGGCGGACGGGUGAGUAACGCGUGGGUAACCUGCCUUGUACAGGGGGAUAACAGUCAGAAAUGACUGCUAAUACCGCAUAAGCGCACAGGACCGCAUGGUCCGGUGUGAAAAACUCCGGUGGUAUAAGAUGGACCCGCGUUGGAUUAGCUAGUUGGUGGGGUAACGGCCCACCAAGCCUUCGAUGGAUAGGGGUUCUGAGAGGAAGGUCCCCCACAUUGGAACUGAGACACGGUCCAA